RNAcentral lists this long non-coding RNA (1059 nucleotides) under Panax ginseng (ginseng). RNAcentral describes it as "long non-coding RNA (PGIN_LNC008716)". Lineage: Eukaryota; Viridiplantae; Streptophyta; Magnoliopsida; Apiales; Araliaceae. The record is from RNAcentral.
ACAGCUAUUGAACGGAAGGAUUUCUCAUAGUUUUAAAAAUUAAGUGAUUUAGGAGUUAGGAUACUAUUUCAAAAAAUCUUUUAUUUUAAUAGUAUUUGAGACAAAUUUAAAUGGGCCAUUGAGAUAAAGUUGCCAACUAGUUGCAACACCUUGAAAUUCAAAGGACACGUUAAAAAACCAACAAAAUUAUAUAGAAAUUAUUUUGGGAAAAGGCAUAAAAGAAUGAGGAGAAAAAUGAUAGGUGAACAAUAAUAUUUUAGACACUAACUAAACUUGAUAAAUCAAAACCACUUCACUAAACCAAAAACACAUUACAUAUCUUCAACAAUUAUCAACACAAGCUGCCAACAUAAAACCAUAACAUAAGGUGGUCCAACUCUUCUUCCGAGUCAACAAAUAUAUAAAAAAAGCUUUUCAUGUAAAAUUUAUAAUAAACCCAUGAACACACAAUUUUAAAGAUUCGUUAUCAAACAAAACCAGCUGAACAAUCUCUGAAACAAUUUAUAACAAAAAAAUCAACAAAACUAACAUAAAAGCAAAAAAGAUAGUACAUAAUAAAUUAUUCAGCAAACAGACAGAAGAAAAGAGGCAAAGGGAGGAGAAGAAUAGAGGGGAUCGGGAAUAUUUUGGGGGUUUUGGAGAGAGAAAGUGAAAGAGAGGUUUCUCAUCAAAUUACAACUCAAUAACAGGCAUUCUCAAAUAAUAACACUCUAUAACAGCAGAACAAAUGUGCUCUGCUUUCUAUUUUAACACCACCCAUUAUAACCCAGAAUAAUAUUCAUAAAUCAAAAAGUUGUCUAUCAACACAAACAAAUCUGCAUAUUCCAAUUUUUGAAAAUCAAAACACAAAAUAUAAAACAAAAAGGCUAAUUCAACACUAAAAGCAAUAAAAUACAUCUAUCCACGUCUAAUUUUGUUACGUUGUAGUGAAUCGACGGAUUAGUCGCGAGGAGAUGGGCGGCGCGGGAAGAAAUGGGCGGCGAGCGAGGAGAUGGGAAGCGAGUAAGAGAGAGGCAGCGGAGAGAGCAGGAGAGAGGCAAAUGGGUUAGUGUUGUUUUG